Long non-coding RNA from Neofelis nebulosa (Clouded leopard), 1824 nucleotides. RefSeq lists it as uncharacterized. The transcript is spliced from 4 exons. The record is from RefSeq and is a predicted model, not a curated record. NCBI's taxonomy places the organism in Eukaryota, Metazoa, Chordata, Mammalia, Carnivora, Felidae.
CGCAGCUGAGGUCCCGCAGCCGCGGCCGGGGGAGCCGGGGCCUCCUUGUGGCUCCGAGGCUCGGCGACGCACGCCCCCUCUCGUGCUCCGCCCCGCGCGCUGUCUCGGGCCCUAGCCGUCCUCGGCAGCCGCGCCUCCCACCGCUUCCUCACCCCGGGGCGUAAUCUCUAAUCCACCCUGACCUCAGGCCUCGGCCUGCGCCCAGGCCAGUGGUCCGCCCUUCCAGAGCACUCCGGGACGGGGCGGGGUGGAGGUGGCAGAACAGACUGCGCUUGCGACGCGAUUCCGCACGGGUUUGUUUCCUGACCUUGAUCACGUCCCCGCCUUAACCUCCUCAAAGUUACAACUGGGAUAAUCUUUGCCGGACUCGCCCGCCGGGUGGUGGGGUAAUAGAUUGAGGCGGGGAGGCAGAGAGACUGUCAACUAUCCCGCUGUGUGCCUGUUCACAGCCCGCCCCAGAUAUUUGGAGGUGGAGGUUGAGGUAUUAAGGCCCUGGCCUGCGGCCUCCGGGAGGAACUGGGCUCGUGGACGUUUAGGCUCCUUGGGGCCCGCAGCGCUUCCGGAAGGCGGGCGGGCGCGGCCGGAGCGCCGGGUUGGGGCACAGGGCGCCCUUGGCAACGUUGGCCGCAUUGCCCCAUCCCGGCCCGAAGCAGAGCUGCCGGGCCCGGCACGUCCCGCAGACUCAGGUUUGGCCCCGCGCCCCGUACUCGGCUCCGGGCUGACCCCUCCACCUCGUCGCGGCGGUGGGCAGCAGCCAUGGGACUCCGCAACCCGCGGCAGGAGCCGAGCGUCGGCCUCCGCAACCUGGGCUGAAAAGGAAGCCGUGUGCGUUGUCCUGAAGCGCAGACGCGAUGGAGACCACCCAGAGCUGCGCAGGAGAUCCAGCCUCAGAGAAGGCAUUGGUUUCUGACUUUGCCAAACCCAGGCGGAGAGUCUCUCCAGGAAAAAAUCAACUUUUUCUCCCAGAAGUCUCCCAACCUUUCACAAAAAUAUAAAACCAUCUGGAAAAUGAAGCAUCUACCUGGACGGAGGGACACAGUUGAAAAUAAAAGAUUUGUUAGCAAUAGAAUUCAAAGGAUGAAAGAAUCUGUGUGAUGCUACAGAUGAAAGCUCUACCCAGAGCCAUAUAUUCAAGGGCAAAGAUCAUGUUUUAUAAUGAGAAGCAGCAUGAUAUGAUGGAAGGAGGUGAAGUUUUGCAGUUAAACAGAUUGUCCCAUCUUAUGGACAGUGAAACUGAGAAUCAGAUGAAGUAACUUGUCCAGUCAUACUGCUGUUAAGUGAUGGAGUCUGGAUGAGAAUCCAGGGCAUAUAGCCAGAUGACUAUAUACCAGAGUGUCUUAUACCAAGGUGCAGCCAGAUGACUGAGUUCUCAUCAAUGGAAGGAAAAGUGGUGAUAUGUAGCGUUUCUGAGCUUGGUGCAUAAAAAAUCUCCCAUGAUAGGCUAUGCUCUUUUCCUUCACAUGAAUUGAUGCAGAGGGAUAUGGCAACAUUAGAAAUUGUAUGUUGAAGCUGGUGGAGCCACAAUAUGGAAGGAGCCUAGGACCCUGAAUCAGUGCCCAGAGGCGAGCCCCAGUUAAUCAGGAACACUCAUUUUGACGGUAAUGAGUGAGAAAUAAGUGUUGGAGCCAUUAUAAGCUUUGCUGUUUUUUUUAAAUAGUAGAAAACAAUACUUUAAUAUUCUAAUUAGUAUCUAAUAUAGAAUUUAUUUUCUUUCAUAAUUUAUUAUAUAUUAACAUUAGAAGUGCUGCUUGUCAGCUUUCAAUGAUGUCAUUGCAAAUGCAUGCAAUAGUGCACAGUGAAUAAAUGUUUAUCUGUUUGACCACA